AAGCGAAUAAGUGCACAUGGUGGAUGCCUUGGCAGUCAUAGGCGAUGAAGGACGUGGUAGCCUGCGAAAAGCUACGGGGAGCUGGCAAACAAGCUUUGAGCCGUAGAUGUCCGAAUGGGGAAACCCACCCUUUUAGGGGUAUCGCACAGUGAAUACAUAGCUGUGCGAGGCGAACCUGGAGAACUGAAACAUCUAAGUACCCAGAGGAAAAGAAAUCAACCGAGAUUCCGAGAGUAGUGGCGAGCGAAAUUGGAACAGCCUGUACGAUUUAGCAUUUGAGUUAACAAAACGGUCUUGAAAGUCCGGCCAUAGAAGGUGAUAGCCCUGUAUGUGAAAACUCGAUUGUGGAACUAGGCGUACGACAAGUAGGGCGGGGCACGAGAAACCCUGUCUGAACAUGGGGGGACCAUCCUCCAAGGCUAAAUACUCCUGACUGACCGAUAGUGAACCAGUACCGUGAGGGAAAGGCGAAAAGAACCCCGGGAGGGGAGUGAAAUAGAACCUGAAACCGGAUGCCUACAAACAGAGGGAGCCUGAAAUGGUGACCUCGUACCUUUUGUAUAAUGGGUCUGCGACUUAGUCUGGCGAGCAAGCUUAAGGCGAUAGCUGUAGGCGAAGCGAAAGCGAGUCUGAACAGGGCGUGCUAGUACGUGGCGGUAGACCCGAAACCGAAGCGAUCUACCCAUGGCCAGGAUGAAGCUCGAGUAACAUCGAGUGGAGGUCCGAACGCGUAACUGUUGAAAAAGUUUGCGAUGAGCUGUGGGUAGGGGUGAAAGGCCAAUCAAACUCCGUGAUAGCUGGUUCUCCCCGAAAUGCAUUUAGGUGCAGCGUC
RNAcentral lists this ribosomal RNA (832 nucleotides) under Ditylum brightwellii. RNAcentral describes it as "partial Bacterial large subunit ribosomal RNA". It matches the Rfam family "Bacterial large subunit ribosomal RNA", at positions 1 to 883 of the family's 2925-position model. The record is from RNAcentral. Lineage: Eukaryota; Bacillariophyta; Thalassiosirophyceae; Lithodesmiales; Lithodesmiaceae.